Molecule: long non-coding RNA, 336 nt
Organism: Rhopilema esculentum
Lineage: Eukaryota; Metazoa; Cnidaria; Scyphozoa; Rhizostomeae; Rhizostomatidae
Source: RefSeq, a predicted model, not a curated record
GUUUAGCUUGGAUCAACCAUCUCUUUUGUAGCAAGCCAAUUUUCCUUAAAUGAAUGUUUAAGUUUUUUCUCUCAAGUUUUGCUUCGUAGGGGAAAAUAUGUUUGAACAUACAGGAAUCAUAUCUGGUCAUUUCACCAGCAUUGUUACAGACAACCAAAUGUAAAAAGGCAGGCUGCCUAAAAACUUUCUGAUUCAAACUUUAAAAUGGAGCACGAUUGCAUGAUAAGAAAUGGACAAUCAUUUUGGUACGUACUGGCUCAAUCUAUAUUUGAACAAUUUUGUACAUGCUAUCUAUGUUAGUAUUUUCAAUAAAACAUGAAUAAGGUACAAAAUUUU